Molecule: ribosomal RNA, 801 nt
Filed under: uncultured Rubrobacter sp.
Lineage: Bacteria; Bacillati; Actinomycetota; Rubrobacteria; Rubrobacterales; Rubrobacteraceae
Description: bacterial SSU rRNA
Rfam family: Bacterial small subunit ribosomal RNA
Source: RNAcentral
AGAGUUUGAUCAUGGCUCAGGACGAACGCUGACGGUGUGCUUUAGACAUGCAAGUCGAACGCGAAAGCCCUUCGGGGCGAGUAGAGUGGCGAACGGGUGAGUAACACGUGGGUAACCUGCCCCUCGCAGGGGGAUAACCGGGGGAAACCCCGGCUAAUACCCCGUACGCUUGCCGGGUCGCAUGGCCCGGUAGGGAAAGGUAGCUUCGGCCAUCCGGCGAGGGAUGGGCCCGCGGUGCAUUAGCUAGUUGGUGGGGUAACGGCCCACCAAGGCUACGAUGCAUAGCUGGUCUGAGAGGAUGAUCAGCCACACUGGGACUGAGACACGGCCCAGACUCCUACGGGAGGCAGCAGUCGGGAAUCUUGCGCAAUGGGCGAAAGCCUGACGCAGCAACACCGUGUGAGCGACGAAGGCCUUCGGGUCGUAAAGCUCUGUUGUUGGGGACGAAGGGCGAAGGGUUAAUAGCCCCUAGCUUGACGGUACCCUUCGAGGAAGCCCCGGCUAACUACGUGCCAGCAGCCGCGGUAAUACGUAGGGGGCGAGCGUUGUCCGGAAUUAUUGGGCGUAAAGAGCGUGUAGGCGGUUCGGUAAGUCUGCCGUGAAAACCUGGGGCUCAACCCCGGGCGUGCGGUGGAUACUGCCGGGCUAGAGGAUGGUAGAGGCGAGUGGAAUUCCCGGUGUAGCGGUGAAAUGCGCAGAUAUCGGGAGGAACACCAGUAGCGAAGGCGGCUCGCUGGGCCAUUCCUGACGCUGAGACGCGAAAGCUAGGGGAGCGAACAGGAUUAGAUACCCCCGUAGUCC